RNAcentral lists this ribosomal RNA (416 nucleotides) under uncultured bacterium. Its description in RNAcentral is "bacterial SSU rRNA". It matches the Rfam family "Bacterial small subunit ribosomal RNA", at positions 29 to 447 of the family's 1533-position model. The record is from RNAcentral.
AUUGAACGCUGGCGGCGUGCUUAACACAUGCAAGUCGAGCGGUAACAGGCGUAGCAAUACGUGCUGACGAGCGGCGAACGGGUGCGUAAUACAUCGGAAUCUGCCUCGUAGUGGGGAAUAACCCGGCGAAAGCCGGGCUAAUGCCGCAUACGAUCCACGGAUGAAAGCGGGGGACCGUAAGGCCUCGCGCUAUGAGAUGAGCCGAUGUCGGAUUAGCUAGUGGUGAGGUAAUGGCUCACCAAGGCGACGAUCCGUAGCUGGUCUGAGAGGACGGCCAGCCACACUGGGACUGAGACACGGCCCAGACUCCUACGGGAGGCAGCAGUGGGGAAUAUUGGACAAUGGGGAAACCCUGAUCCAGCGACGCCGCGUGUGUGAAGAAGGCCUGCGGGUUGUAAAGCACUUUCGUGGGAACG